This 1095-nucleotide long non-coding RNA is filed under the name Canis lupus familiaris (dog). RNAcentral's name for it is "lncRNA (ENSCAFG00845008340.1)". Lineage: Eukaryota; Metazoa; Chordata; Mammalia; Carnivora; Canidae. The record is from RNAcentral.
GGCGCUUUCGCUGGCGCCCGCAGCGGGCUCCGGCUGCGCGGCCUGGGUCUCCCCGGUCCCCGGCGCCCGGAGCUCUCCGGCUUCCUUUCCCGCCCCGGGGCGAGCUCGGCCUCUCCGGGAGAAGCCCAUCCCGGAGCCAGGCCUGGAAAAACAACAGCAAGAAACUUUGGCUCGGGUUUGCGGUUCAGUGAAAAAAAGCAAACACUCAAGUUUGGUUUGGGGCUGCAGCCGCCGGUUCCGAUCCGGGGGCGGGGGUGGGGGUGGGGGGGGGGGGGUGUCACAACUCGGUCAGGUUCAAGUGCGCAUGUGCGUGAGGAGCCGCUCGGGCACUUAUUGAGCGCCCACUGUCUACGGGAGGCGGGCGGGGGGGGGUGUGUGCGGGGAGGGCGCGCGCGGCCGGCGGAGGGGGAGGGGAGGGGAGGGGAGGGGGCGCGCAGGCCGCGUGCGCGCGCGGCGCCCAGGGCUGGGGAGGGGGGCGGGGGGCGGGCGCUGGGGGGGGGGUGUGUCCCCGAGCCUCGCUCGCUCGCUCGCUGGCUGGCGCGCUCCUCCGCUCCCUUCCCGGGCGGGGAAUCCGGGCCGGGUUGUGGCCGCGGCCGCGUACGUGAGCGCAGUGUCCCGGAGAGGGAGGGCAGGCCGGCCAGGUGGGCGCGAACGGAGCCUCGGCGGGCGGGCGGGCGGCCGGAGCGGAGCGGAGCGGGGCGGAGCGGGGCGGUGGGCCGCGCCGGGUGGGCGCGCAGGGGCCGCGGCCGCUGCAGCCCCGAGCCAGGCCGAGCUGUCCGAGCGGGCGCUGCCCGGCCCGCGCUGCUGCUCGUGGCGGGGCGAGGUGAGCUGCGCGGGGACCUCGCGGCGCUGCAGCGCGGGGACGGGGGCGGCCCGGGAACUUCCCACGCUCCGCGCGCCGGGGGGGCCGGGCCGGCGGCCGGAGGGCCCGGGAGGCGGGCGCCGGGGGCAGCGGCCGGCGGGGCGCGGGGGCGCUGCGGCAGCGCCGGUGCCCGCGCGGGCGGGGUGGGGGGUGGCCGCCCGCCCCGCCGUGCGCCGCCUUGUUUAUCUCGGCCGCCGCGGGCGCUCGCGCGGGCACCCCCUCCCCAACUUUGA